GCGGGUGUAGUUCAAUGGUAGAACUUCAGCCUUCCAAGCUGACCGCGUGGGUUCGAUUCCCAUCACCCGCUCCA
This 74-nucleotide transfer RNA is filed under the name Clostridiaceae bacterium. RNAcentral describes it as "tRNA-Gly". It matches the Rfam family "tRNA". From Rfam's summary of the family: Transfer RNA (tRNA) molecules are approximately 80 nucleotides in length. Their secondary structure includes four short double-helical elements and three loops (D, anti-codon, and T loops). The record is from RNAcentral. Lineage: Bacteria; Bacillati; Bacillota; Clostridia; Eubacteriales; Clostridiaceae.